Molecule: ribosomal RNA, 253 nt
Filed under: uncultured bacterium
Lineage: Bacteria
Description: partial 16S ribosomal RNA
Rfam family: Bacterial small subunit ribosomal RNA
Source: RNAcentral
UACGUAGGUGACCAGCGUUGUCCGGAUUUACUGGGCGUAAAGGGCGCGUAGGCGGCUUGACAAGUCACUUGUGAAAUCUCCGGGCUUAACUCGGAACGGCCAAGUGAAACUGUCAUGCUAGAGUGCAGAAGGGGCAAUCGGAAUUCUUGGUGUAGCGGUGAAAUGCGUAGAUAUCAAGAGGAACACCUGAGGUGAAGACGGGUUGCUGGGCUGACACUGACGCUGAGGCGCGAAAGCCAGGGGAGCAAACGGG